Molecule: non-coding RNA, 246 nt
Organism: Vicia faba (fava bean)
Lineage: Eukaryota; Viridiplantae; Streptophyta; Magnoliopsida; Fabales; Fabaceae
Source: the annotation of a GenBank genome assembly
AUGAUGUUGUUUUUUAUUCAUCAAUUUGGUUUAUCUAGUAUUGAUGCAAGGAUUUCUUGCAGGUGUAAUGGCGUGAAGUUUGUCAUGGGGGAAGCCUAUGCUAGGAGAAGUUUAAUGAAGCAAAAGCAUAAAGAAAGAUUAGCGAUUGAAAGUUUGGCCAUGGGGAAGUUUAAGACAUUUUUGAAACUGUUAGAAAAAUGGGGAUGUUCUAAUGAUGAGCUUAGGUUUAGGAUAAAUAGAUUUUGA